RNAcentral lists this ribosomal RNA (1424 nucleotides) under Cosmetocleithrum gigas. RNAcentral's name for it is "partial large subunit ribosomal RNA". It matches the Rfam family "Eukaryotic large subunit ribosomal RNA", at positions 120 to 1269 of the family's 3401-position model. Lineage: Eukaryota; Metazoa; Platyhelminthes; Monogenea; Dactylogyridea; Ancylodiscoididae. The record is from RNAcentral.
CCUACCUACUUUUGUUGGCAAGGCAAUGUGGUGUUUUGGUAUAUUUCUGGGGUGAGUUACUUGCUCGAAGUCCAAGUCCGAUUAUGGCUUUGGAUAUGUUCCUAAGAGGGUGAAAGGCCCGUUCGAGCAGGUAGUGAUUGUUACUCUCCCUUAGAUAUAUGUACCAUGGAGUCGGAUUGCUUGAGAAUGCAGUCCAAAGUGGGUGGUAAACUCCAUCCAAGGCUAAAUACUGGCACGAGUCCGAUAGUAGACAAGUACCGUGAGGGAAAGUUGAAAAGUACUCUGAAGAGAGAGUAAAUAGUACGUGAAACUGCCUGAAGGGAAGCUGGUGGAGUCAAGCCUUGUGCUUUAUAAAUUGGCACAGAGAUUGUUGGUCAUGGAGCUUUCAAGCAACCUCUUAUGAAUAGUUGGGGUGGUACGCCACUACGAUUGUUCUUGGAAAAUUAUCGUUUGCUUGGAUUCUUCCGCUUGUCUUGUGCUAUUUUGUAUUGCGCGUACCAUGAUCAAUGUGCUCGUGAUGUGCGUUUCUCUAACCGUACUACGGUAGGCCUUGUGCUUUGCCGAGUGCGGGAUGGCAGGUGGUGAUACUUUGGCUUCGGUUAAGGUAUUAUGUACAGUGGCUUUUUGCUUGCCGAGUUGCGUGCUUUAUAUCAUCUAGCGCAUUGUUUCUAUAUUGGGUAUUCACGCUUUAGUGAUAUUCAUGAGAGUCAUGGUUUGUGGUAGAUUUUCCACCCGACCCGUCUUGAAACACGGACCAAGGAGUUUAACAUGUACGCGAGUCAAUGGGAUCACUACGAAACCCAAUGGCGAAAUGAAAGUGAAAGAUUACAUCUCGUAAUCGAAGGUGUGAUUCUGGUGUUCCUUGAAUAAAGUCACUAGACGCAACACCGGCCCGUCUCGUAAUGUAGUCAUACAGGCCUUGGCUUGUGUGCAUCAUUGUGGCGGAGCAAGAGCGUACAUGUUGAGACCCGAAAGAUGGUGAACUAUGCUUGCGUAGGUCGAAGCCAGAGGAAACUCUGGUGGAAGAUCGUCGCGGUUUUGACGUGCAAAUCGAUCGUCAAACGUGAGCAUAGGGGCGAAAGACUAAUCGAACCAUCUAGUAGCUGGUUCCCUCCGAAGUUUCCCUCAGGAUAGCUGGCACUCAUCUAACACAGUUUUAUCCGGUAAAGCGAAUGAUUAGAGGUAUUGGGGACUAUAUGACCUCAACCUAUUCUCAAACUUUAAAUGGGUACGAUGCAUGGCUCGCCUAAUUGGAGUUGUGCAUCGAAUGAGAGUGCCAAGUGGGCCAUUUUUGGUAAGCAGAACUGGCGAUGUGGGAUGCUCCAAACGUCGAGAUAAGGUGCCAAAUGUGGACGCUCAUGAGACACCACAAAAGGUGUUAAUGCAUACAGACAGCAGGACGGUGGCCAUGAAAGUUGGAAACC